AAGUAUUAAAUUGGUGCAAAAGUAAUUGUGGUUUUUGCCAAUAAAAAUAAUGGUAAAAACCACAAUUACUUUUGCACCAACCUAAUAUAU
This is a microRNA precursor of Chlorocebus sabaeus (green monkey), 90 nucleotides long. Lineage: Eukaryota; Metazoa; Chordata; Mammalia; Primates; Cercopithecidae. The record is from Ensembl.